RNAcentral lists this ribosomal RNA (253 nucleotides) under uncultured bacterium. RNAcentral describes it as "partial 16S ribosomal RNA". It matches the Rfam family "Bacterial small subunit ribosomal RNA", at positions 524 to 776 of the family's 1533-position model. The record is from RNAcentral.
GACGAAGGUGGCUAGCGUUGCUCGGAUUUACUGGGCAUAAAGCGCGCGUAGGUGGUCGUGUAAGCGGGGGAUGAAAGCCCAUGGCUCACCCAUGGAACUGUCCCCCGGACUGCACGGCUCGAGGAAGGAAGGGGAGAAUGGAAUUCCGGGUGUAGCGGUGGAAUGCGUAGAGAUCCGGAAGAACACCGGUGGCGAAGGCGGCCUGCUGGGCAGUAGCUGACACUGAGGCGCGACAGCGUGGGGAGCAAACAGG